GAUUGAGUGGAGAGAGGAGGCUUUCAACGAACGAUAUAUCAUGAAGAGAUAUGUGAAAAACACCUUGAGGAUUGAUUCUAAACAACGUUUACCAUGUUUCAGUCGAUAUUAUGGAGUUAAUUUGGAAAAAUUUCGGCGUUUUGAAGACUGAAUUUUCGUUUUUUUUUGGUAGCCAAACCUGACGCACCAAACGGAGCAAUUUCUCCUAAACAAAUAAUCUUUCAGGAAAAACUGAGCAUUUGCCAACUAACUGAGAGUCUCCUCAUUGAAAACAUCUGAAGUUCUUCAAAGGAAAAACUGAGCAUUUGCUAUCUAACUGAGAGUCUCCUCAUUGAAAACAUCUGAAGUUCUUCAAAGGACCUGAGCCCUAGGACCAUGACCCAGGACUACCUGACAUGAUGACUCCUUGCUGUCCCCAGUCCACCUGGCCGUGCUGCUGCUCCAGUUUCAACUGUUCUGCC
Oncorhynchus tshawytscha (Chinook salmon) is the source of this 461-nucleotide long non-coding RNA. Lineage: Eukaryota; Metazoa; Chordata; Actinopteri; Salmoniformes; Salmonidae. The record is from Ensembl.